RNAcentral lists this unclassified non-coding RNA (227 nucleotides) under uncultured Agaricales. Its description in RNAcentral is "sequence contains ITS1". Lineage: Eukaryota; Fungi; Basidiomycota; Agaricomycetes; Agaricales. The record is from RNAcentral.
UUGAAUAAACUUGCACAGGUUGUUGCUGGCCUCCCGAGGUAUGCGUGCACGCUUGUCAUCUUUAUUUCUCCCAACUGUGCACAUAUUGUAGACCUGAACGAAUUUUGAAAUAUCUUUUUCGAGUUUGGACUGCUGUGCUUUCACAGCUUUGCCUUGUGUUUCCAGGUCUAUGUCAUUUUCACAACCUCUUUGUAAUAAAUGAAUGUUGAAAUUACAUAUAAAUCAUA